AGUAAAUAAUUAAGGGCGUAUGGUGGAUGCCUAGGCUCUCAGAGGCGAAGAAGGACGUGAUAAGCUGCGAAAAGCUCCGUUUAGGUGCAAAUAACCUUUGAUGCGGAGAUCUCCGAAUGGGAUAACCCAAUAUGUUGAAGACAUAUUAUACCGUAAGGUAGGCAAACGCAGGGAACUGAAACAUCUAAGUACCUGCAGGAGAAGAAAACAAACGUGAUUCCCCCAGUAGCGGCGAGCGACCGGGGAAAAGCCCAAACCGUUAUUGUUUCGGCAUUAACGGGGUAGUAGGACUGCAAGCUUGAUGAAAUAAAUGAAAUGGAACACCUUGGAAAAUGUGAUCACAGAGGGUGAUAAUCCCGUACAUGCAAGUUUAUGAAUCAUAGCUAGUACCUGCAGGAGAAGAAAACAAACGUGAUUCCCCCAGUAGCGGCGAGCGACCGGGGAUAAGCCCAAACCGUUAUUGUUUCGGCAGUAGCGGGGUAGUAGGACUGCGACAUUGAUGAAAUAAAUGAAAUGGAACACUUUGGAAAAUGUGAUCACAGAGGGUGAUAAUCCCGUACAUGCAAGUUUAUGAAUCAUAGC
RNAcentral lists this ribosomal RNA (582 nucleotides) under Odoribacter splanchnicus. RNAcentral's name for it is "partial 23S ribosomal RNA". It matches the Rfam family "Bacterial large subunit ribosomal RNA", at positions 1 to 600 of the family's 2925-position model. The record is from RNAcentral. Lineage: Bacteria; Pseudomonadati; Bacteroidota; Bacteroidia; Bacteroidales; Odoribacteraceae.